UAUUUUAAAUAAAUAACAAAAGUUUACUUAGAAGAAUCCAUGAUACCCUGGAGGCAUCAUGUUUGGAUUGUUGAAUGGAACAACGCUAGACCUGAAUCUAGCUGGCCUUAUCUCAUACGGAAGACUUGCUCGACUAGAAGAACUUCCGAGAAAAAAAAGGAUAAUUAGGUUGAUGAUGAUGAUGAGGAUGAGAAUGAGGAAGACGAAUAUUAAGGUAUGAAUCACAAUCUUCUCAGCAUGCUGAGCCACAAUCUUUUUUAGCUCAUAAAGAGAGGCCUUCAAUUGUUGAAGUUGUGCCAAACUUAGAUCUUCCUUAGGACCCAUCCACCAACAUUCGUUCUCAUUGGCAUUUUUCGUCUGGUUAAGAUCCUUGCU
This 375-nucleotide long non-coding RNA is filed under the name Carica papaya (papaya). RNAcentral describes it as "long non-coding RNA (CPAP_LNC008583)". The record is from RNAcentral. Lineage: Eukaryota; Viridiplantae; Streptophyta; Magnoliopsida; Brassicales; Caricaceae.